RNAcentral lists this ribosomal RNA (485 nucleotides) under Elphidium margaritaceum. RNAcentral's name for it is "SSU rRNA". It matches the Rfam family "Bacterial small subunit ribosomal RNA", at positions 589 to 1072 of the family's 1533-position model. The record is from RNAcentral. Lineage: Eukaryota; Foraminifera; Rotaliida; Elphidiidae.
CAACUGUUAAAUCUUGAAGCUCAGCUUCAAAAUCGCAGUCGAAACUAUUAGACUAGAGUAUAGUAGGGGUAAAGGGAAUUUCCAGUGGAGCGGUGAAAUGCGUAGAGAUUGGAAAGAACACCGAUGGCGAAGGCACUUUACUGGGCUAUUACUGACACUCGGAGACGAAAGCUAGGGUAGCAAAUGGGAUUAGAUACCCCAGUAGUCCUAGCUGUAAACAAUGGAUACUAGAUGCUGGGCAGAUCGACCUGUUCAGUAUUAAAGCUAACGCGUUAAGUAUCCCGCCUGGGAAGUAUGCGCGCAAGCGUGAAACUCAAAGGAAUUGACGGGGGCCCGCACAAGCGGUGGAGCAUGUGGUUUAAUUCGAUGCAACGCGAAGAACCUUACCAGGGUUUGACAUGAUACGAAUUUUCUUGAAAGAGAAAAGUGCCGUUUGGAACGUAUACACAGGUGGUGCAUGGCUGUCGUCAGCUCGUGUCGUGAGA